Molecule: long non-coding RNA, 1161 nt
Organism: Ananas comosus (pineapple)
Lineage: Eukaryota; Viridiplantae; Streptophyta; Magnoliopsida; Poales; Bromeliaceae
Exons: 3
Source: RefSeq, a predicted model, not a curated record
AAAAAAAAAAAAAAAAAAUCCAAUUAUUAGUACCUUAUUCUGUCCCGAAUUCAAGAAAUUUGAUUUAUUUUAAUGAGUUCGGAUGGUCAUUUGGCCUGUUGAGGAACCUGUAUUAAUUUGUCGUUAGUACAUGAAAAUGUGCUUCUAGGAUCUUGAACUCAUCAUCUAUUGUAUAUUGGUCAAACUUGUACAGUUCUAACCUCGAAACUAUUCAAUUCCUUGAAAAAUAUUUAUACUUUAUUAUAGGGCUUGUUGGAAGAUCAAUGUAUCAUAUCCUUCUCUUUUAAGACUUGCUCGUCGGAGACAAUAGCAUUACUCUGAUGUUGUGCACAUAUAAUUGCGGGGCACCGUUUGAUCAGCUUGCAUUAAGUGAAUAGGUCUUUAUGUUUCGCAUCUCUCUCUGUUUAGUAGCCUCAACUCCAUGCUUUAGCUCCAUUGGUUGUGGAAUUCAGGUCAGUUUUGAGCACGAGAAAAUGAUCGGUUCUUGCAGCAGCACUAAUAAGUGUUUUCUUUUCUCCACAGAUGUUGCUUGCUUCUGAUUACUUGCACAUGCAGGUUUACUGAUCAACCCUCAUCAGCUGCUGCUUCUAGUUACUCGCACGCUUUCGUUCUUCCGGUGUAGUUAAAACCCAGAGUGGAUGUGAAUCAUUCUUUUGGACAACUCUACCGGACGAGUCCGUUGGAGUGAUAACCAAACCGAGUCUUUGGGGAGUAAGAGGCAAUUGGGUCGUCGGAGAGGAGCAUGCUGGAGGAGCAGGAGGACACAAAAUAAGAAAGAAAGAAAGAAAGAAAUCUUUGGCAGUUGCAGAGGUUGCCAGAAGGCCGGCCAUUCUGCCAUACUUUUUAUCAACCAACAAUCGGGAUAACAAUCUUCAACUGAAGAUGCAGAAUGCAAAGAUGCGAGUACCGCAAAGAGGCUUCUAUAUCAUCUGCGCCUUAGCCCAAAUACUCAAUUCCGAUGUAAUUCACAAAAAAAGAAACCAUCAAACCAAGCUGGAGGACCAGCAAAAACAAUAAUAAAUGAAGAAAAGAAUUUGCGCAAACUUGGAAGUAAGGAUGCAUAUUCUAUGAGCCUACAUAGAAAUUCUUUCGUAAGUAUACUUUCGUUACCGUAAAAUACCCUGCAUCUUGAUAUCACAGCCAUCAAAUUUGGUCUAUAUU